GAGUAAGUCUCAAUUGUCAAUAUUCAAUAGAACUAACACAAUUUAUUAAGUAAAGUAAACUGACUACUAAGUAUCAUAGUAUACUUUGAACCGUUGAAAAGUAAAUACACACACACACAUUCAAAGUUCAAUUAUGAUUCAUUAAUAAAAUAGAAUUAUUCCAAACAUCAUCUUAAGAAAAUAUCAUUUAUUGAAUGAUAAUGAAAUAAUUACAUUUUGAUAUAAAAUUUCUAUUGUGUAUCGACAGGUCUGUGAUGCUCUUAGAUGUCCGGAGUUACAUGUGUGUUAUAAUAAUGGUGUUAGCGAGUUUGGAAACCUGAUCAGAAAGGGUUGGACAAACUGUUUCAUCACCAUUGUGACUAAGAUCGAGGCUUGUAAUUAUUCCUCGUGAAAGAGGAAUUUCUUGGUAAGUGGAAAUCAUAAGCUUACACUGAUUACGUCCUUUGGUUUUGUGCAUACCGCCCAUCGCUAUUAUUGAUUGGAUGGUUUAGUGAGGUUGUUGGAGUGAAUUUGCCGCCCGAUCGAUACUGAGAAGAUGACCUAAUUCGACUGUUUAGAUGAAGUAAAAGUCGUAACAAGGUUUCCGUAUGUGAACCUGCGAAUGGAUUAUUA
Molecule: non-coding RNA, 612 nt
Filed under: Schistosoma mattheei
Lineage: Eukaryota; Metazoa; Platyhelminthes; Trematoda; Strigeidida; Schistosomatidae
Description: Eukaryotic small subunit ribosomal RNA
Rfam family: Eukaryotic small subunit ribosomal RNA
Source: Rfam by way of RNAcentral